AUCUUCCUCUGGAGCCACAGGCUGAAUUGCUCACGGCGUAUUCUAAAACAUUUGAGCUCCCUAAUCUCAGGGUUCUUUAUCUGUUACGUAACCCGUUGAGUUUAUAGGUGUCUGCUGGCUUUCAUCUUGUUGCCCUUUGGGAACUGGAACUUCUGGAACCACCAGUCCAGAUGUUUAUGAUACUUAAAGGAACUAGAGAUGCUGAAACUCUUAGAAGCUGACAUAUUAAGAGCACCAACUAGAAGAACUCACAUCUUUAAAUUGCAUCAUUUUGCCCACCCUACUGCAGCUGUGAGAAGGAUAGCAGUCCAACAUCUUUUCAGGCACUCUGGCUACCCUGAGGAGAAUGGAAUGCAGAAGGGCAAGGACAGAGGUAGAACAAUGAAUUAGGAGCUAUGAUAGUAGACCAGG
Molecule: long non-coding RNA, 411 nt
Organism: Choloepus didactylus (southern two-toed sloth)
Lineage: Eukaryota; Metazoa; Chordata; Mammalia; Pilosa; Megalonychidae
Exons: 3
Source: RefSeq, a predicted model, not a curated record